Long non-coding RNA from Anas platyrhynchos (mallard), 5973 nucleotides. RefSeq lists it as uncharacterized. The record is from RefSeq and is a predicted model, not a curated record. NCBI's taxonomy places the organism in Eukaryota, Metazoa, Chordata, Aves, Anseriformes, Anatidae.
GGUUUAGCUAUAAAGAGGGUGCAAAAGACUGAAACUUUUUGGCAGGGAUCUUCAAAGGUCCCUGCCUCAGCUGUGGUGCUGGGUAAUUAAAGGUGGUACCUUAAGCCAGUGCACUUCUGAGUAGUCUUAAAUGGUUUAAGUACGGCUUUCGUUGUGGGAUUUUGUUAAAAGUUUCAGUGCAUUUUACAGGGGAUGAAUUCACCCCAAGCAGGCAGGCAGCCAAAUCCAUUUGUUUUCAUACAAGCAGGUCUGUUUCCACAGUACUCACCAAUUCCCUCAUAGUGCACUGCAAUGGGGUGACUUGCCUGACAAUGAAGGGAUGGAAGGUAUGGGUCCUUGAUGAAUGCUGAAUAUUGAUUUCUUGGUGUGAUCAGUGGCUCUUGUCUGAAAGUUUCUCUGUCUGUGGAUUAGGAAAAAUACUCCUGCUAUGGCUGAUUUACUUUAUGGACCUAAGGGACAGUUUUUUCAAGAGAGUCAAAAGUCCACAUUUUCAAGGGCUCCACACCCACAGCUGGAACCUGACUUUCAAAAAGCCAAACUCACAGAAGGGCACCAAAACAAUAGGCAGUUUUCAAGACUGCAAAGCAGCAAGCAGCUCCUUUUGUUCCAGGGAGCCUGGCCUUUGAAAGAGGCAGAUAUAACAGAGAUCUGCUAGGAAGCUGAACUCUGUCAGAUGUAAUUGACAGCUGCAAGUAGAAAAAACUGUGUAAUCUGCUAUCUCUAAGCAUUUCAAAAUGCUCGUUGUAGUAGUAUCAAGAUGCCCUAUGUAGCUCUUCCCUCUAGACUCCCUCAGAAGUCACCAAGGCAGUGCUCCCAGCAUAUAACCCAAAACCACGAUUUCUUCCAGCUGCUGGUAUGCAAACCUCAGGCCAGACUCUAAAAUCCCACUUGGAAUCUUUCUGUUUGUGACAGGGCUACUGGUAAGAAAAGCUCCACAAAUAAAAUUUGGUUGGCAUUUCUGAAAAGCAUGCAUGAGUUUUCAUCUCACACAAUUGGGUUAUGUUCCUGUAUGGGGGUGAAAAAACAAUUUUCUUCUUAAAAAAGCGUAUGUUCUGAAAAUCACUUCUUGUGGUGGGGCUGUUCACAGCCUUUAGUCUCUGUCGUGCACAAUCAUGCAAAUAAUACAUCUGCUAGAACAUGGACAGAAAAGCACUUUCCUCUGCUAUGAACUGAGCCCGGACUAAUGACAAAUGUGGUGACGACUCCUAAAUGCAUAGAACAUGUACUAAAUGAAUCUCAUCAGGAAAUUAUGUUUUUUCAGCCAUAGAGCACUCAACUUGCAAUUAGGACUGCCAAGGAAUUGGGCAGUAUCUUCAAACUUCCUUGCUAACCCCAACAACCUGGGUAGGAACCGGUGUGCUAACUGUGGCUGGAAAAAUAAUAAUAAUAAUAAUAAUAAAAAACCUUUCAUAGUGCUAUGUUGCAAUGAAAAGAUUUGUUGGAAUUACAAUGCUGUUACACAUUUUGGCAGGACUUUCUACACUUAAAAGGCAGAAGCAGGAAUGUGAGGGGUGAUGUGUCUGCAGAAAGAAAGGGUUAACAAUAGGAAAGCAAAUUCCUGAGGUUUAGGAGGCAGCCACACUGCUGGAACCUUACCAGGGCACAAGGACUAGGGCAAGAUCCCCAGGUGACACAAGGCAGUCUCAGGUAAGGCUUUUCUAGGAAUGAGUUAAAGUCUGUGCUGUGGCAUCUACGUAUGUUAAGCUGUGAAAAUCAGCUAGUACCAUUUCAUACGCUGAUACCAAGCAAGGCAAGAAUUUAAGUUUCCAAAAUGAAAGUACUCGCACGUUUGGUGAGGGACCCUAGAGCUGUCAGUAUGUGAUUAUUUGUUCUGUGAUCAUUGUAACACUAUUUGGAAAGUGUUUAGAAAAAUCUGGUGAAUUCCUGCAGGACUCAUGACCAAGUAUCCCCUGAUAAUUAGCUUAUUAUCGGUAUGCUGGCUAUUAAAGGUGAGAAUGAGGAAGUAAAGCAGAAAUCCCAAAAGGCCCUGAAAGAGAUACAGAAAAAGCCAGCAAUUUCUACUUUCAUUUUAAGGACCCCGUCAGUACAGGCUGUGCCUCAACCUGGUUUGAUCACUGUUUGGAUUUUCUAAUUAUUUAGGAAUUUUCAGCCAAUAAAGACAGUUAUGUGAAUUAUGAGAAAACACAUAACUGCAACUGUGCAAGCACUUAAAUUCAAUUACACUGUCUACUACUCAAGCAUUUCAGUUUUAGCCCUUGGAUUAGGGGCAUCUUGUGACACACAGCCAAGUUUUCAAGCUGAGGCUUACAGCCGAGGCUGGCUUACAUGAAAAAAGCUGGGAACCUAAUCACUCUGUUUAAGAACAUUAAGCCCCCCCGUGCUUUUUGUCAACACAGCCCUGGAUAAAUAUAAGCCCCUGCUGUGUACGUUUCAUGACAUUUAAGGAGACACAUUUAUUUACACUUUACCCAGGGUGUAAAUGAGGUUCCUCCUAGCAGUGAUAAACCCUUGGUUUCUCCUAGAGCUGAUCAUUAGACUUUCUAUAAUCAAUGAGCCCAGCAUGAGUAUGUUUAUUUGUGAACAGUUGUUGAAGAGCAAGCAAAAGGACACUGUUUUAUAGGCUCCAGGAUCUUAAGACCAAGUAUAAAUACUCACCAAAAAACAUGUAAAUGUAAAGAAUAUGUCCUACUAGUUUACUGCGGUUUUUAGACAAUCCCACAUUUUUAUUCUCUCAUUCUCUUCUCCUACCUGCCAUGCAAUGGCACAGGGCAUUGUGACCAUGCUGGGCAGCUGCUGCAUUCCUCCAGUCUACCUUAUUUCAAGGUACUUAAAUACGCAUUACAGAUUGAGGUUCUUGCCUCAAAGUUUCAAUAUUUUCAUAUUAAUGUGAUCUAACAGAUCACAAAACAGCCUUUCUACUACCCAGGACAAGCACUUGGAUAAAUUAGGCUUGAGAUGGUUAGAAAACCCCUAAAGAGCACCAUUUAAUGACCUCCACAGAAGCAGGAAAAAUAAUAUUUCAGCUUUUACCUUCCCAUAUACCACAAGUGAGCUGUGACCACCUGCACCUUAUCAUUAGAACAGAUGAUUUUUAGGAGCACUCCAACAGUGUGGUGCCUGUAAAUAAUUUAAAGGAACCUUCCAUAUACAUAAACCUCAUGUGCAAGUCCUAAAACAAAUAUGAUGCCAGUAAGGAGAGCGAAAUGGCAACAAAACAUCUUCUCUAACUGAAAAAAAAAAAAAAAAAAAAAAGGCAGAAAAGCAAUUAGCCUAGUUACUGAAAUCGGUGGUAUUCGUGCAUUUUAAUAAGAUUAUACAGCUACAUGCAAGACAACACAAUUUUUAUGUUUGGCGUCUAUAGCAGCGCAGCUUCCAGCAUAAGAAAUACAAGAACUGACUUGCAUCUCCUUGUUAUAUUUUGUUGGCAUUCCCUUUUUCUAAGGUUAGGGAAAAAAAAAAAAAAAAAAAAAGUAAAAAAGGGUAAAAUAAGGAUAAUAUUAACAUUCAUAAGCCACCUGCCAUUCAAUCAUGGGAAAACAGGCUUGCCAAGAACUAGUGAUUUACUCAGGAAUAGAAAGAAAGCAAUUCAAAACUAGAUCUCAGUUUCCAAAGAAGCAGGCUUUGUUUUUCAUAGCAGAUGACACAGCUAUUUCAGGGAUGUAUUUUGAUUUGCAAUUGCUUGUAAAGUGUCUUAAGCUACCCAAGCAAACACCACGAUACUUCAUUUUGCAGUCAGUUAUUAGGGUCAUCUGCCAGGCACUCUGUAACUCCAAGGAGAGAUUAUGCAGCACACAGCAUCCAAACACAUCUCCAAUCUUACAGCACACAUGGUUCCUUCUUUCCCAUUCUUUCACUGCUGCAUCACUUGCUGUGGGGCUUUCCUGUUACGCAGAGACACCAGCCUCGAGUCCCCACUGCUAGGAAGAGUCACGUAGCAAGGACGCAGCUAAGCCCAGCCAGGGCUCAUGUUUACCAUUCACACUUGUGCCAAAAUGUCCUCCCUUGUCUGGUUUAGAUGGGAUUAAGGAGAUUCUUGCUAACUAGCAAACAGUUUAUUGGUUGAUUCUGUAUCCAUGAUCAACAAGUUUUCCAAGCUGUCAGCCAAUUACUUAGACUUGAAAAAUGUCCUUGGCUUUGUUUGAGUUCUUUAUCAGAAACUUACUAAUUAAAUUGAUGCAUAUUCCAUGCUGCUAGGAGAACAGAUUGAGGUGAACAUUGCAGAUAAUCUUAGACACCUAGCCGAUAAGCAAAAAGUUUGUCUAGAAAGCCCAGCUAAAGCCAGCAGUGAGUGAAUACAUCCUGGAGCAGUCCACUGUUGUUUAAGCUGUUCAUCAAAACAUACUGACUUAAUUUCAUCACUGAUGUCACCGCUUUGCAGUCAAGAGACUUAAAUCAGGAAUGAACUCCCGUGUGACUCUGAUGCGAUACAUUUAGGUAUAUGAUGUUAUUUUAAAACAACUUACUGCAGCCUCACAAACCUAUCUUUGAAACAAGGCAAUGGGUAGCUUGUUGGUCACACUCAAUUGGACUUUCAAAAAUAUCUUUAAAAAAUAAUUAAAUCAUUAACUGAAGAAUCAUUAAUUAUCUAGGAUAUAAAGCAGGAAAAGUGCUACUCUCCAAAGGAUGUACUUUUUUUUUAAUAGCCUCAAAGAACAAGACAAAAGGAGUUCAGGGAAUAAGAGGCGCUAUGCUGAAUUAGAGUCUGGUAACGCUGUUAAUGAAAUCAAUGGAAGCCUUGCAAUUCAUCCUAAAGAAAAUGCGACUAGCUCUAGUAGAGCACAACUGCCAACCUAACCACAGCAACUCUCGCGCUAUCUGGCUGGUAUAGCACACUGGUAUUCCAAGUGAAGUUGUUCAUCUGUAAAAUCGUGCUGUGGGGAAAUCCAAACCAGAAGUGUGAACUGUAACUCCAGGCCUUUUACUGCCAAUGUGCGUAGCAGGCCCAAAUGCACCCUAGAUACUACUGUGGUAUCAUAAAAAAUUAAAUAGGGAGGCUGUUCUUUUAUGGUUUAACUUUCUCAAAAGCCAAAAAAGCCAGAGGACUUUGGCAGCAAGAAUCUCUGGCUGCGACAAGUAUGGAUAUAUACAUACCAGUGAAGUUUUGAAACUCUGUUAAGUGGAAUUAAACAUUUAUGGAAGAAUGCAUUUAGAUGUUUAGAGCAGCACAGCUAAAGCAGCUUGAUGAUAGCUAUAAUUUACUCAAAGUUAUGUUUUUAGAUACCACACUAUUUCUAAUCCUUUUCUAUGCAAAAAUCCAUUUGCUUUCAGUACGUACUGCAGCAUUUGCAGCCAGGUAUUACAUGAACUCCUCAAUGCCUGGUCCCCACACUGGUCUUUCUGUUGAGCCAUUCCCAUUCCAAUCACCCUGAUUUGGGGAACACCAUGCUGUUUCGGGUGUUUCAUACAGUCCUAUCCUUACACCCUGUAGAAGUGUAGCCUUAUCCAUUACACUCUACAGGAAGACAUCCACUGAUUUUAUAGGGCAUCAGAUUCAGCCCUUCACAGGCAGUCCUGAUUCCUGACCUGCAACCACCCCCGACUUUCACUGUGGUGCAAAGCAGGGUUUACACCAGCAAGCUGACAGUGCAGUCCCUCUGAUCCCACAGGACUAGGGGAGCACAGCAUACUGAUCUCGAGUCUAUUCACUCUUUCCCAUACCAUUUGUUUCCAUCAUCUCUGGAGAAACCUUGUAUGAUGCUGCAUCACAAAUUCUUUCCCCUCAGCAGAACGACACUUUGCCACCUACUCCUGCAGCUUCGUUGCUCUCCCCAGUUAAAACUUCCAGGAGUCUCAGAAUGUCUCUUGACCUUCAUCUGCUGUACAUCCUGGAGAGGUUUGACAUUAUAAUCUGACUGGAGAUGAGAUGGGGAAGAUUAACACUAUCACUAUUUUACAAAGAUUCAUUAGAGCUUCAGUGGGAAUAUCAAGGUUAUAGGUCCACCUAAAGCUCAGAUGAGAAGAUUACAACAUCCUGGAAGAUUAUUAGCAUGCAAUAAAUGAAAUGUUGUGUUA